Molecule: microRNA precursor, 80 nt
Filed under: Octodon degus (degu)
Lineage: Eukaryota; Metazoa; Chordata; Mammalia; Rodentia; Octodontidae
Source: RNAcentral
GGGUAUCUGAGGAGAGGUUGUCUGUGAUGAGUUCGCUUUAUUAAUGACGAAUAUAACACAGAUGGCCUGUUUUCAGUACC